CUUUAUUUUUAAUGAAGUUCCAGACUGCGUGAGUAAGAACAUGGUCCUUUGUUCACUUCAUUUUAUAGCAGAUUUGUUUACAAACAAAGCACAAUUCAAGGUGGGAUUUUCAGAAAGAUUGAAACUAAAAGAUGAUGCUGUGCUACUAUAUUGGAUCUGACAGUAACCUCGCAACACACAAGUGUGAUACCAAUCAUACCAGUGGGCUCAGUCUACAUUCCACCACACCUAUUCAAACAUAGUGUUUCGAUGAGAAUGGUUAAAAAACAGGACCUAUUACUUUUUCUAAAUUAUGAUGUUUUUUGAUGUAAAAAUCUUGAGAACAUUAUAAGGAGAAUUCAGAGAACAGUAUAAAAUAAUAAUUAAAAAAAGGCAGUUCAUGACCCUUUUAAAAGUCAUGUAGAGUAUUCCAGUCAGAUCAAUUAAGCCACAUGUUCCUUUUUAAUACCUCAGAAAACAUAUUUAAAACUUGAUAACACACUUAAUUAGUAAACAGUAAAUGUCCUCAGUGAUGUUACUCCAAAGUCAAAGCAAAGAUUAAUAUAAUCCAGGUCCUCAAACCUAAAAACACUAAAGAAUCUCAACAAAGCAUGAUGGUUCAAUAAGUGAAGAAAUCACUAGGUACUCUACAGCAGGUGAAAAAAAAUUGUAUAUACAGUAAAAUGAGCUGUAAUGUAAAAUAAAUAGAGAUACAUAAGAAAAAGAUUAUAUAUAUAUAUAUAUAUAUAUAUUUUUUUUUUUCCAACCUAAGGACAUGGCCAGGAUGGAAGGAUCUCUAUUACUUUAUGCGACCUUGUGAAGCUUUGGGACAGUGUCUCCCCAGCUGAAAAAGUGUACCUCAGCAUGUAUCAGACAAACUGUGACUGUGAGAUUUCGCCCUGUACUGGAGCAUCCUGUUUGAUCAAAAUGCGUCAAAAAAAGUGUCUGAUGAGAGUCCAGAAUCCAUUCGUUAUUGAUGAUAAAAGGGCUCUUCAGUCUAUUUGCCUGCAAAGCAACGACGGCUUCUGCAGUUGGCAACAAAUCAUUGUUGAUAAGUAACUACAACAGCUCCUAAAAAUGACACCCUGAAGACCAAGUGCAUCCGCCAUUCGUCAGUGUGGAAGUUUGCCCUUUUGUUUUUCAAAAUGCUUAGAAUGCUUAAAAGAACAUGUUUAAAUGAAUUCAAACAUUUUACUGAAGCUUUGCAAUGCAAAUACAUACAAAACACUGUGUUCAUGGGGCUAUGCAAUUAACCAUUAAACUGUUUUGUAAGUAAAAGUGUCUGUGUAUAUUUAAUGGGAAAUGUAAGCAUUAAGCAUGUUUGUGUAUAUUUGGAUGUUUAGUGGCAUGCUUUAUAUCAAAUGCAUUCAUCUGGUAUUGUUUUUCACUUUUCUCUUCUGUUGAGCAUUGAAAUAAAAAGGAAACAGUUUAAUAAAAAAAAAAAAAAAAUAAAAAAAAAAAAAAAAAAAAA
This is a long non-coding RNA of Labeo rohita (rohu), 1450 nucleotides long. RefSeq lists it as uncharacterized. The transcript has 2 exons. The record is from RefSeq and is a predicted model, not a curated record. NCBI's taxonomy places the organism in Eukaryota, Metazoa, Chordata, Actinopteri, Cypriniformes, Cyprinidae.